CAGUAGCCACGGUAAGACAGAGGAUGCAAGCGUUAUCCGGAAUGAUUGGGCGUAAAGGGCGCGUAGGCGGUGCGGAUAGUCAGAUGUGAAAUUCCUGGGCUUAACCUGGGGGCUGCAUUUGAUACGUCCGCGCUUGAGUGUGGAAGAGGGUCGUGGAAUUCCCAGUGUAGAGGUGAAAUACGUAGAUAUUGGGAAGAACACCGGUGGCGAAGGCGGCGACCUGGUCCAUAACUGACGCUGAGGCGCGAAAGCGUGGGGAGCAAACAGGAUUAGAUACCCCCGUAGUCCCUGUCUCUUAUAC
RNAcentral lists this ribosomal RNA (301 nucleotides) under uncultured bacterium. RNAcentral's name for it is "partial 16S ribosomal RNA". It matches the Rfam family "Bacterial small subunit ribosomal RNA", at positions 509 to 807 of the family's 1533-position model. The record is from RNAcentral.